This 6834-nucleotide long non-coding RNA is filed under the name Brassica napus (rape). RNAcentral describes it as "long non-coding RNA (BNAP_LNC023089)". The record is from RNAcentral. Lineage: Eukaryota; Viridiplantae; Streptophyta; Magnoliopsida; Brassicales; Brassicaceae.
CUCUUUUUAUUUUUUUCUCAGGUCCCACUUCAGCCGGAGAAACAAGAAUCACUUGGAAGCCACUCCCCUAUCAUUAGCCAAUAUGCCGCACAACACUACCUCCACCCAGACCAAAGCCUACAAGAUCACACUGGCACUGUCGCCAACAUCAGCAUCCAUUCACACACUGACCACCAGAGCCUUGACCACAACACUCCCGACCACAACAACACUCCUCCUAACCACGAGAGUCCCAUCCACAACACAUCCGACCACUACAACAAUCACAUUAACCACGAGAGUCCCGUCCACAACACACCUGAGAACCCCAAUCCGACCAUCUUCUUUUUGUCCACCACGAACUCCCAUUCCCAUAGGAACCACAAACCGAUGCUCCACCCAUUACCAAACACAUCUCAUCCAUCUGCAUUAGCUCCGCGAAAUAGAUUCGUUAGAGAGACACAACAUGUUUAAGAGAUUUAUAGUUGACUCGGCUCAUUUUCUCUUUCAAUGUAUCUCUCAACACAAACCCAAGCUCUAGCGAAAAAGGAUGUCUUCACCUACUUUCACCAUCGAUGUAUUCCUCUUAAUUGCAUCAUCUACCAAGCAACAUUGUAAAAUGCUAGCAUAUCCCCAGCUGUUAGAUCUUAUGUCUAUAAACAGAUCUAACGUCCCAAAACAACUCACCUUCUCUGAUAUAUCUACCUUUUAGUUAAUACAUUUAUCAUUUAUUGCAAUUAGAAACAAAUUUAGUUACAACUCUCUAACCUCCUUAAAAGAAGAACUCUUCUCAUUACACAAAAGCAAAGUCAAUUUUGUCUCAAAUAAAAUAGGUGGCAAGAGAAUGUGUGUCAUUUUCACAUUUUCGCAAUGUGUACCUUAGUGAAAACAUAAAUCAUAAAAUGUUCUUCUACGUAACUCUCUCAUAAAUAUUAGUAUUUUAAUUAUGAAUGAAUUUCAAUAUGGGGAAGAAAAAAAAAGACUACUCUCUCCUCUUUUUAUAGUCAGUAGACUCGCCUCAAAAAUUCAGAAAUGCUUUUGCUUAAUUAACCUCAAAACAUGGCUUCCUUUGUCUUCUUCACCUUCUUUCCUGAAAGUUUCUGCGUUUAAACGUAUCCCCUAUGGCGGAGAAAGCCCAGAAAACACUCAUUCUCCUAGCGAAUCUAAUCAAAGUUCCUCCACUGAAAACCUUCUCUCUCUUGAAUCCAUCCAAUCUUCACGGAGUUCAACACACACACGAAUCAUUCUCAGUCCUCCUUCAUCUCCUUCUCUCUGGAAACUUACUCCCUCACGCUCAAUCUCUCCUACUUCAAGCGAUCACCAGAAGAAUCCACUCCCAAUCCUUCACUCCUUCCUCACUCUUACGGUACUUAACACAAUCAGAAACUUCAAAACCCAACUCUCGACUCUACGAAGUAAUCAUCAGUACAUGCAUCCAAUCUCAAUCCCUAGACUCCGCGGUCUCCUACUUCACCGAGAUGAUCGAUAAGGGUCUUGUCCCCGGAUGGAAUUGCUUCAACAAUCUCUUAACUUUCGUUGCGGGGUCGUCUUCUUUCGACGAGUUCUGGGCUUUCUUCAAUGAGAACAAGGGGAGAGUCGUUCUCGAUGUGUACAGCUUCGGGAUCGCGAUCAAAGCAUGUUGCGAAUCUGGUGAAAUCGACAAGAGCUUUCACCUUCUUGCUGAGUUGAGAGCAAAUGGGUUUUCACCAAACGUCGUUAUCUACACUACUUUGAUCGACGGGUGUUGCAAGAGAGGAGAGAUCGAAAAGGCCAAAGCUUUGUUUUUCGAAAUUGAGACGAUCGGGUUAGUGGCUAAUGAGCGUACUUACACGGUUUUGAUUCACGGGUUGUUCAAGAACGGGCUUACGAAACAAGGGUUUGAGACGUACGAGAAGAUGAAGGAGGAUGGGAUUUUACCCAAUCUCUACACUUACAACUGUGUGAUGAAUCAGCUUUGUAAAGACGGAAGAACGAAAGACGCGUUUAAAGUGUUCGACGAAAUGCGUGAGCGAGGGGUUUCGUGUAAUGUUGUUACUUACAAUACUUUAAUCGGUGGGUUGUGUAGAGAGAUGAAUGCGAGUGAAGCUUGUAGGUUGAUGGAACAUCUGAAGAGCGAUGGGAUCAACCCGAAUUUGAUCACUUACAACACUUUGAUUGAUGGGUUUUGUAACGUGGGGAAGUUAGGCAAGGCGUUGAGUUUGUGCAGAGAUCUGAAGUCUAGAGGUAUGUCUAUGUCUCUAGUCACGUAUAAUAUUCUAGUUUCUGGGUUUUGUAAGAAGGGAGAUACUUCAGGAGCAGCUAAGAUAGUUAAGGAGAUGGAAGAGAGAGGGAUUAAACCUUCGAAAGUUACAUACACGAUUCUCAUUGAUACGUUUGCUCGGUCUGAUAACAUGGAGAGAGCAAUCCAGCUUCGAACGUCGAUGGAGAGUUUAGGAUUAGUUCCGGAUGUUCAUACUUAUAGCGUGUUGAUUCACGGGUUUUGCAUCAAAGGUCAGAUGAACGAAGCAUCGAGGCUUUUUAGAUCGAUGGUCGAGAAGAAGGUAGAACCUAACGAGGUGAUCUACAAUACGAUGAUUCUUGGGUAUUGUAAGGAAGGUAGUUCUUAUAGAGCGUUGAGGUUGCUAAGAGAGAUGGGAGAUAAAGAGUUGGCUCCAAAUGUUGCUAGCUAUAGUUAUUUGGUUGACGUUCUUUGUAAAGAAAAAAAAUUGAAAGAGGCUGAGGAUUUGGUUGAGAAGAUGAUUGGUUCAGGGAUGUAUCCAUCUGCUUCAGUAUGUAAUAUGAUCUCUAGUGCCAAAAAUGGUUCGCUUAUAGCUCAAACAAAUGAUAAGAGCUGUUUAAAUGUGACUUAAAUUUACACUUCUUUUUUCAUUCCGUUUUCUUUUUUCAUUCCGUUUUUCACUUAAAUUUACACUUUUUCAGUCACUUAACCCCAUUCCAUGAUUUAUUUCAAAAUAGAAUUUAAAACAAAAAAUCUGACUUUAAUUGGUAACAUGUGGUAACAUUGAUUUAGUUUGAGUUGAGAGUUUAAUUCAUAGAUAACUCAAAAUAUCACCAAUCAUGCAUUAAAUUUAAUUUUUUUUUAUUUUAAAUUUGAGUUAUCAUGUAUUAUGGUUGAAUUACAAUUUUGAUUUACACCCUUUGUAAAAUUGUUAAACCAAAACUUAAUGCAACAUCAUGAUCAAUCCAAUGUUUUAGGAUUUGAGUUACAAUUAUAAUUAAAGUUUCUGUCUAAAAUACAAAGUGAAUAAUAAAUCUGAAACACUCUACCUCCGCGUACGAAAACUGUUAUACGUUUUGGAAUUUUUUUGUUUGUAAAUAAAAUAUUAUUUGUAUUUCCAAAACCACCAUAGCAAUAUCUUAUUCUUAUUUCUGGAAAUAUUUUUAAUAAUAUUAUAUACUUCACAUCAUUUUGUGUUAAUCAAAUAUUUUUUUAUUCUCUUUCUUGUUCCUAUUUUUGAAUUAUUAAAUUAUUAUCUUACAUAAUCUUAUUAGUUGUAGAUUUUAUUUGGAUUGAAAAUUUAUAAAUUAUUUUGUUAUUGAUAUCGGAUAAAUAAUAUCAUCAGUAAGUUUAGUUCUUAGAAAAAUAUAUAUUGCAGCUUAUCUUUUGUUAAAAUUUAUUUUUAUACAUAUUAAAAAUAAUUUUAUUAUUUAUUUUAUUUUAAAUAGGUUAAUAGUUUUUGUUAUUAAUAAUAAUUCAUUAUUAUAUGUUUAUAUUUAUAUUUAUUUUAUUGAAAAUUAUACUGUAAAUUAUACAUCAAAAAGGUUACAAGUCAUCAGUUUUACUAAAAUAGUAACUCUAAUUUUUACUGCAAAACUUACCACAUAAAGUUACAGUUUUUACCACAUAAUUUUUACUGCAAGUUACAUCGAAUUGUAAUACAUAUUGCAACUCGACUUCAAUGCUACAUGUCAUCAAUUAGAACCUAAGUAUAUUCCAUUUUAUGCUGUAUAAUGAAAUAAAUAUGGAUUUAUUCUAUGGAAUAAUCAUUUUAUUGUUACUUCAUUAUUCUAUUUUCCACUCAAUUUGUGGAGUAUGGUUCAAAUAAAUUCAAUUCCAUUUUGGAGUGAAAACUAAAGUUUGACAUCCAUGUAGUAGAGCAUUUCCAAUAAAAAAGAAAUCUAUUUUUCUCCGAAAUAGAAUAAUUUUAUAUUGGAAUUGAAUUUGUUCCAACCAUAUUCUAUUUUUGGAACGAAAAUUGAAAUAAUGAACAAAAAAUAAAAUGAUUGUUUCAUUUAUAGAGUAAACAUUCCAUUAUAAAGUGGAAAAUGAAAUUGAAUUUGUUCCAAACUCCAUUUUGAAGUAAAUUAUGAAGUAUGAAUAGAGAUGCUCUUACAAGAUUAAGAUUAUCCUUUUUGAUAAUGAUUUUUUUGUUUCUUCUGAUUCAACAUUAUUCAUUGGUUUAGUUUGGUUUACUUAUAAACCAACUCCAACUCUACCAUUACAGAAAUUAGAAAACCAAAUCAACCGUUGGAAAAAUAUUAAGAGAAGAAAACAUAGCAGUUUCUCAAAACAAAACCACCAUUUUUCUUCUUUCGCGUGUCCGAUUAAGAAAGAGAGAUGGAUCACGCGAUGUUAAUUGCUCUUAUAAUCGCCGCAGCUUUCCUCUUUGUAUUCAACAAAGUGGACGGAGUCCAGAUCUUGUCUAAAUCAAAGCUAGAAAAGUGUGAGAAGACAAACGAUUCAGGAAACCUCAACUGCUCAACUAAAAUCGUCUUGAAUCUCGCUGUCCCCAGUGGAUCCGUAAGCCUUGUUAUAUUUGUGCGCUAUAUCAUAUGAUUUUUUUGCUCAUCACAUUAUGUUUUUUUCCGUGACGACGAAUAAGAGCGGAGGAGAGGCUUCGAUUGUAGCCGAGAUCGUCGAAGUGGAAGAUAAUUCGAGUAGCAACAUGAAGACCGUACGUAUCCCACCGGUUAUCACAGUGAACAAAUCAGCAGCAUAUGCUCUCUAUGACCUAACUUACAUUAGGGUACGUAUGAAGUUAUGUUUUACUGUCUUAAAUGGGUUUGGUUUAAAGUUGAUUAUCAUCAUGAAUCAGUCUCUAAUCUUGGUUCAGGAUGUGCCUUAUAACCCUCAAGAGUUUCACGUUACCACUCGAAAGUGUGAGCCAGAUGCUGGACCAGAUAUCGUUGGAAUAUGCGAGAGGCAAAUAUCUUUCUUUACGAUAUAUAUAGUUCUUUCUUGUUUAGCUUUAACGGUAAAUACUUAUCGGAACAGGCCGAGACGCCGGAAGGGAGUAACGGCGUCGUGUCGAUGAUUCCGUCGGAAUUGGCCCUACCGACGCGAGAAGAAGGCGGAGAGGCCGCAGAAUCCGGUCCCGUCGUGUUCGUGCAGACUCAGCCUGUCUGUUGUCCAUGUGGACCACAAACAAGAGUUCCUUCAUCUUGUGGAGACAUAUGUACGUGUUUCUUUGUCUUAACAUUUUCAAUCUCUUUGGUUUAACAUUCAAUCUCUUUGGUUAAUAAAAUUUGGGUACUAUAAACAUUUUAGUAUAAAAUUUUAUUUUAUUUUUUUACUAUUUCUGGAACCAUAAAACGUAUGAUAUUAGUUGUUUAAAAUUUGUGUGCGAGUGUUAAUGGUUCACUGGAUUAUGCUUAGAGGAAGCGUUAUUUGUAUGUUGUGAAGAAUAAUUUACAACUCUCAUUUUCUUCACUUGACUUUUAUCAGUUGAGAAGUUGAUAAAAGGGAAAGCAAACACUGCGCAUUGCCUUCGUUUCCCUGGUGACUGGUACAGAUCCUCACUAAAUGUGGAUUUACUCUAAAGGUUGUUUUCAGGAUUCUUGAAGUUUGUCCAUUUGUUUGAUCUCUCUCUCUCCUGUAGGUACCACGUUUUCAGCAUUGGACAACGGUCUCUAGGGUUUAGCGUGCGUAUUGAGUUGAAGACAGGAACUAGAGUUUCAGUAUGUCUACUUCAUUGCUUCAAGCUUAGCUUUGUUCCGGAGUUAUUCUGUCUUUUAUGAUUCUUCUUUAACUGGCAGGAAGUGAUCAUUGGUCCUGAAAAUAGAACAGCUACUGCAAAUGAUAACUUCCUCAAGGUUAAUCUCAUAGGAGACUUUGCUGGUUACACAAGUAUUCCUUCUUUUGAGAACUUCUAUCUUGUAAUCCCAAGAGAGGUAUAAAUAACUCUAUAUCCAUUUGAAAUCUUUUAACUUAAUGAGCCGUAUUACAAAAAUGCUAGAAGAAUAUUUUGAAUAGGUGGCGGCAGAGGGACAGCCAGGGAACUUAGGUGGAAACUACUCAAUGUGGAUGCUGCUUGAGAGAGUGAGAUUUACAUUGGAUGGCAUAGAGUGUGACAAGAUCGGUGUUGGCUAUGAAGCUUAUAACAACCAACCAAACUUCUGUUAUGCACCAUAUUGGAGUUGCUUGCAUAAUCAACUUUGGAACUUCCACGAGGUCAGUACUUAAGAAACAAGACCGAACAUAGUCCAAUGAAACAUUGUCACUGAGCUAAUAUACAUAAAUCAUAUGAUUGUUAAAUUAUCAAACUAUUAAGAUUUACACCUUUCACCGACUCUUUUUAUUUUUUUCUCAGGUCCCACUUCAGCCGGAGAAACAAGAAUCACUUGGAAGCCACUCCCCUAUCAUUAGCCAAUAUGCCGCACAACACUACCUCCACCCAGACCAAAGCCUACAAGAUCACACUGGCACUGUCGCCAACAUCAGCAUCCAUUCACACACUGACCACCAGAGCCUUGACCACAACACUCCCGACCACAACAACACUCCUCCUAACCACGAGAGUCCCAUCCACAACACAUCCGACCACUACAACAAUCACAUUAACCACGAGAGUCCCGUCCACAACACACCUGAGAACCCCAAUCCGACCAUCUUCUUUUUGUCCACCACGAACUCCC